Molecule: ribosomal RNA, 585 nt
Filed under: Hanseniaspora thailandica (nom. inval.)
Lineage: Eukaryota; Fungi; Ascomycota; Saccharomycetes; Saccharomycodales; Saccharomycodaceae
Description: eukaryotic LSU rRNA
Rfam family: Eukaryotic large subunit ribosomal RNA
Source: RNAcentral
CCCAGGGCAUACUUAGUACGGCGAGUGAGCGGUAAAAGCUCAAAUUUGAAAUCUGGUACUUUCAGUGCCCGAGUUGUAAUUUGUAGAAUUUGUCUUUGAUUAGGUCCUUGUCUAUGUUCCUUGGAACAGGACGUCAUAGAGGGUGAGAAUCCCGUUUGGCGAGGAUACCUUUUCUCUGUAAGACUUUUUCGAAGAGUCGAGUUGUUUGGGAAUGCAGCUCAAAGUGGGUGGUAAAUUCCAUCUAAAGCUAAAUAUUGGCGAGAGACCGAUAGCGAACAAGUACAGUGAUGGAAAGAUGAAAAGAACUUUGAAAAGAGAGUGAAAAAGUACGUGAAAUUGUUGAAAGGGAAGGGCAUUUGAUCAGACAUGGUGUUUUUUUAAUGUGCAAGUCUCUCGUGGACAUGUGCCUCUGGAAAUUAACACUGGGCCAACAUCAGUUCUGGCGGCAGGAUAAAUCAUUAAGAAUGUAGCUACCUCGGUAGUGUUAUAGCUUUUUGGAAUACUGCCAGCUGGGAUUGAGGACUGCGCUUCGGCAAGGAUGUUGGCAUAAUGGUUAAAUGCCGCCCGUCUUGAACCACGGAACCC